This is a long non-coding RNA of Cynara cardunculus var. scolymus (artichoke), 505 nucleotides long. RefSeq lists it as uncharacterized. The record is from RefSeq and is a predicted model, not a curated record. The transcript has 3 exons. Lineage: Eukaryota; Viridiplantae; Streptophyta; Magnoliopsida; Asterales; Asteraceae.
UUGUUUUGUAGAUGUACACAUGGAAUUGAUAUCUCUUAGAUGGAUUCCUUGUAAACAGUUAUGUGAUAAAAAGAGCAUAUUUGGGGAGUGUUGUGGUCAAAAGCAAGAAAGCAAGUAGAAGCAAAGUAGUCAGCAGAAGUACUUGAAACUUAAGACACGGUAUGAAGCACUACAACGAUCCCAGAAGAAUCUGCUGGGUGAGGAUCUUGGCCCUCUCAACUGCAAGGAGCUUGAGUCGCUAGAAAGGCAGCUCGAUACAUCUCUCAAGAAUAUCAGAUCAGCUCGGUCUAUGUUCAAGACCAAGGUUUUCAUCCUCAUUAACUGUUCAAGACCAAGUUUUUCAUUCUCAUUAACUGUUCAAGACCAACGUUCGGAGAUUCAAGAUCGUUAAACAUGCUAUGAUGAUUUUGGAUUUUUUUUGUUGAGAAAUUUAGACGAUAUAUGAACUAGUUGAAUAUUAAAUUUGGAUGGUUCUUAUAUUUAUUAAAUUGUUUUGAGAUUAUUA